This 476-nucleotide ribosomal RNA is filed under the name Discoporella sp. 3C-MMHD-2002. RNAcentral's name for it is "partial 16S ribosomal RNA". It matches the Rfam family "Bacterial large subunit ribosomal RNA", at positions 1835 to 2591 of the family's 2925-position model. The record is from RNAcentral. Lineage: Eukaryota; Metazoa; Bryozoa; Gymnolaemata; Cheilostomatida; Cupuladriidae.
CUCAGAAAUUAUUAAGAGUAUUGUCUGCCCAGUGACUGAUAGGUUUAACGGCCGCGUAUUAGUGCUAAGGUAGCAUAAUAAUUUGCCUUUUUAUUGAAGGCUAGUAUGAAUGGCAUAACGAAGCUUAACUGUCUCUAACUAUAUAAAAAAAAUUAGUAAAAAAGUGAAAAAACUUUUUUAUUAUUGAAGGACGAAAAGACCCUAUAGAGCUUUAAUAUAAUUAGUAAAUUAAGUUUAAAGAAAAAACUAUAUUAACUUAUAUAUUUUUAUUGGGGCAAUAGAAAAAAAAUUUAAUACGUAAUUUUGUUAUAACAAACAAAAAAAACCUCAAAGAGAAUAAAUAUAAGCUACCUUAGGGAUAACAGCGUAAUCUUACCAGAGAGACCUAAUCAAAGGAAAGGUUUACGACCUCGAUGUUGGACUAAGAAAACCUAAAGGUGUGGAAGUCUUUAAAAGUUGGCCUGUUCGGCCAUUAA